This 904-nucleotide long non-coding RNA is filed under the name Pongo abelii (Sumatran orangutan). Its description in RNAcentral is "lincRNA". The record is from RNAcentral. Lineage: Eukaryota; Metazoa; Chordata; Mammalia; Primates; Hominidae.
AGCUCGGCGGGGUGCGGCUAGUGGCGGAGCGCACUGCGAGGGGAGGGCUUUCCACUGUGGCUGGCGUGAACUCGCGUGCCCGGUGGAUAUCAGGGAAGAACCCCCGCCCCGGACCCCCAGAUCUGCCGUGGCCGAGGUAGCGAUCGUCUCUGCUGCCGCGAAGACUGUUUUAACUUGUACCACCUUCCCCUCCAUUUUUCCUGGGGUGCCUCUCACCCUGCAUCUGCGCGUUCAGAAAGCUGGAUUUCGGAAAUGCUCAGUUCAGAAGAGAAAAAAUUGCCGGGAAUCAAGUCAUUCUUUUUGUUAGUCGGUAGUCGAUUGAUGGGAAGUGUUCAAAAUCAUUUGAUGUGGUGACAAGGCUUCACCAGGUACUGCUUUCUAACUUGAGUUGGCCAUUUCCACAUGUCAGAUAGGACCAAUUUUCCUUUUAACUACCCACGUAAUACUUAAACACUGUUGCCGGUAUCACAGCUUUUCUUCAAAACAGGUAAUAUUAGGGACACUUGAAAUUUGGGAAUUAGAUUUACCUUUGCUGUUACUAAAUAAUUGUCAGAAUUUUAAAUGUCGUAUUCAUUUUACUCAACUAAUCUCUUUAGCUUUCCUAUUUAUAUUCCUACUUAUGAUUACUUGUAAUUCUCAUCUGAAAGAUUAAAAUAUUUUGAAAGUAAGACAGUAAAAUUGUGAAAUACUUUGGUAUUGGUUACAAAACAGUACUUAGGUACCUUCUUCCUGAUUUUUCUGUAUUUUUAAAAAAUAAGGCCAGGCACAGUGGCAAAUGCUCAUAUUCCCAACUGCCCAGUAAGCUGAAGCAAGAGAAUCGCUUGAGCCCAACCUGGGCAACAUAGUGAAACCCCAGUCACCAAUUAAAAAUAAACAAACAAAAAGAGUAUAUUUUUUGAAGAUA